GAGAGGGGCAUCCCUUUUGUACCAAAGGAGCAAUCCGCUGAAAGAUGGGCUCAUGACUGAUUAGUUAGUUGGCAGGGCAACGGCCUACCAAGACUGCGAUCAGUAGCCGGACUGAGAGGUUGAACGGCCACAUUGGGACUGAGAUACGGCCCAGACUCCUACGGGAGGCAGCAGUGGGGAAUAUUGGGCAAUGGGCGAAAGCCUGACCCAGCAACGCCGCGUGAAGGAAGAAGGUCUUCGGAUUGUAAACUUCUUUUAUGAGGGACGAAGGACGUGACGGUACCUCAUGAAUAAGCCACGGCUAACUACGUGCCAGCAGCCGCGGUAAUACGUAGGUGGCGAGCGUUAUCCGGAUUUACUGGGUGUAAAGGGCGCGUAGGCGGAUCAGCAAGUCAGAUGUGAAAUCCAUGGGCUUAACUCAUGAACUGCAUUUGAAACUGUUGAUCUUGAGUGCUGGAGAGGUAGAUGGAAUUCCUAGUGUAGCGGUGAAAUGCGUAGAUAUUAGGAAGAACACCGGCGGCGAAGGCGGUCUACUGGACAGUAACUGACGCUGAGGCGCGAAAGCGUGGGGAGCAAACAG
This 580-nucleotide ribosomal RNA is filed under the name uncultured rumen bacterium. RNAcentral describes it as "bacterial SSU rRNA". It matches the Rfam family "Bacterial small subunit ribosomal RNA", at positions 181 to 775 of the family's 1533-position model. The record is from RNAcentral.